UGGGGGAUAUUGCACAAUGGGCGAAAGCCUGAUGCAGCGACGCCGCGUGGGGGAUGAAGGCCUUCGGGUUGUAAACUUCUUUUGCUCUGAACAAGGCAUGCUAAUGGGUGUGUUGAGUGUAGGGGUUGAUUAGCGCCGGCUAACUAAGUGCCAGCAGCCGCGGUAAUACGUAGGGCGCGAGCGUUGUCCGGAAUUAUUGGGCGUAAAGGGCUUGUAGGUGGCUGGUUGCGUCUGUCGUGAAAGCUCAUGGCUUAACUGUGGGUUUGCGGUGGGUACGGGCUGGCUUGAGUGCAGUAGGGGAGGCUGGAAUUCCUGGUGUAGCGGUGGAAUGCGCAGAUAUCAGGAGGAAUACCGGUGGCGAAGGCGGGUCUCUGGGCUGUUACUGACACUGAGGAGCGAAAGCAUGGGGAGCGAACAGG
RNAcentral lists this ribosomal RNA (419 nucleotides) under bacterium. Its description in RNAcentral is "partial 16S ribosomal RNA". It matches the Rfam family "Bacterial small subunit ribosomal RNA", at positions 355 to 776 of the family's 1533-position model. The record is from RNAcentral.